This 465-nucleotide ribosomal RNA is filed under the name uncultured bacterium. Its description in RNAcentral is "partial 16S ribosomal RNA". It matches the Rfam family "Bacterial small subunit ribosomal RNA", at positions 28 to 507 of the family's 1533-position model. The record is from RNAcentral.
GAUGAACGCUGGCGGCGUGCUUAACACAUGCAAGUCGAACGGAAAGGCUCCUGCUUGCAGGGGUACUCGAGUGGCGAACGGGUGAGUAACACGUGGGUGAUCUGCCCUGCACUUCGGGAUAAGCCUGGGAAACUGGGUCUAAUACCGGAUAGGACGAUGGUUUGGAUGCCAUUGUGGAAAGUUUUUCGGUGUGGGAUGAGCUCGCGGCCUAUCAGCUUGUUGGUGGGGUAAUGGCCUACCUAGGCGUCGACGGGUAGCCGGCCUGAGAGGGUGUACGGCCACAUUGGGACUGAGAUACGGCCCAGACUCCUACGGGAGGCAGCAGUGGGGAAUAUUGCACAAUGGGCGCAAGCCUGAUGCAGCGACGCCGCGUGGGGGAUGACGGCCUUCGGGUUGUAAACUCCUUUCGCUAGGGACGAAGCGCAAGUGACGGUACCUGGAGAAGAAGCACCGGCUAACUACGUG